CCAGCAGCCGCGGUAAUUCCAGCUCCAAUAGCGUAUAUUAAAGUUGUUGCAGUUAAAAAGCUCGUAGUUGGAUUUCUGGCCGUCUGCGCCGAAUGUCCGCGUUCCAAAAGGGAUGUGUGUUUACGUUCGGUGCCGGUCACAUCUUCUGGAAGUCUGCGAUGCUCUUCACUGAGUCGUCGUACGAAAUCCAGAUCGUUUACUUUGAGAAAAUUAGAGUGUUCAAGGCAGGCAUUGUUGCCGUGAAUAUGUUAGCAUGGAAUAAUAAGAUAGGACUUUGGUCGUAUUUUGUUGGUUUCUACAGCCGAAGUAAUGAUUGAUAGGGACAGUUGGGGGUGCUAGUAUUC
RNAcentral lists this ribosomal RNA (344 nucleotides) under uncultured eukaryote. RNAcentral describes it as "SSU rRNA". It matches the Rfam family "Eukaryotic small subunit ribosomal RNA", at positions 567 to 899 of the family's 1831-position model. The record is from RNAcentral.